CAUAGUUAGGCACAAUAUUAAGAACGGGUGUCUCCAGUACAAAUAUUCAAAACAUUUUGAGUUAUUUACAGUCCAUGCUUCCUAUGGAGUUUCACAAUUAACUUCAACUAUCAAUGCCCAAUUAUCCAGAUGGGCAAACUAUAUUCGUAAACAAAGGUUCAUCAGUUCAGUUUAGCUACAUCAAACUAAACAUCAUCUCUCUCCGUUCUCUUCAAAAGAAGAAUCAAUUUGGUCACGGGUCGCUUGACAGUCGUCUUGUCUAACGAAGCCCGACAACGUGCACUAGUUCUUCGCGUCCUGCGAAAGUCUGAGUGAUCUCUGCCAUCCACCAAGUUCCACAUCUCUUGUCCUCCCCGAUGACCAACACGAUGUCUUCCACCUCUACGUUCUCUGCAGUUUUCUGGUUCUUUGGCCAAGGAGAAAGUUUGUGUGGCUCAGCGAAAUGCACAUACAUGUAGUUGCUCAGGUAGCUCAGCGUAAUGCACAUACAUGUAGUUGCUCAGGUAGCUCAGCGUAAUCAGGUAGCUCAGCGUACUCAGGUGGCUCAGCGUAAUGUACAUACAUGUAGCAGCGUAAUCAGGUAGCUCAGCGUAAUGUACAUACAUGUAGCAGCGUAAUCAGGUAGCUCAGCGUAAUGUACAUACAUGUAGCAGCGUAAUCAGGUAGCUCAGCGUAAUGUACAUACAUGUAGCAGCGUAAUCAGGUAGCUCAGCGUAAUGUACAUACAUGUAGCAGCGUAAUCAGGUAGCUCAGCGUAAUGUACAUACAUGU
Molecule: long non-coding RNA, 771 nt
Organism: Strongylocentrotus purpuratus (purple sea urchin)
Lineage: Eukaryota; Metazoa; Echinodermata; Echinoidea; Camarodonta; Strongylocentrotidae
Exons: 3
Source: RefSeq, a predicted model, not a curated record